UACCAGCACCCCGAGUGGUCGGGACGAUUAUUGGGCCUAAAGCGUCCGUAGCCGGUCCUACAAGUCUUCCGUUAAAUCCACCUGCUUAACAGAUGGGCUGCGGAAGAUACUAUAGGGCUAGGAGGCGGGAGAGGCAAGCGGUACUCAGUGGGUAGGGGUAAAAUCCUCUGAUCCAUUGAAGACCACCAGUGGCGAAGGCGGCUUGCCAGAACGCGCUCGACGGUGAGGGAUGAAAGCUGGGGGAGCAAACCGG
This 253-nucleotide ribosomal RNA is filed under the name uncultured bacterium. RNAcentral's name for it is "partial 16S ribosomal RNA". It matches the Rfam family "Archaeal small subunit ribosomal RNA", at positions 474 to 727 of the family's 1478-position model. The record is from RNAcentral.